Hemiscyllium ocellatum (epaulette shark) is the source of this 791-nucleotide long non-coding RNA. RefSeq lists it as uncharacterized. The record is from RefSeq and is a predicted model, not a curated record. NCBI's taxonomy places the organism in Eukaryota, Metazoa, Chordata, Chondrichthyes, Orectolobiformes, Hemiscylliidae. The transcript is spliced from 4 exons.
CCAGUGAUCAGUGCCAAAGCCCCAUUGCCUGUGGAGAGGGUGAUGUUUGAUUUCCCUGUCCAGCUGCAGUUCAUGUGGUGAAGGUGCUCCCACAAUGUGGUUGGGUGGACAUUCAGAUGGUAAUCUCAGUAAUUGUAACGCCAAACUGUGACAAAAUUACUCAAUUCAUCAGGAGCUGGAUAUUCACAUUGUGUGGAUCUGCACUGGAACCCUUCUGUUUGCGGGACAAAUAUAUAUAAGUGACAUGGAUUAAAAUCUAAUUUGGUGCCUCACCACUCACUGGGUCGCGGAGAAACUCUGCCGUUACAAUGAGAACUGUCCUUGCUAUCACCGCUCCUCGUGCUUCCGCCUAAUCCCCACUUCCCUUCAUCCCAGAUGCCUCUAGUCCACCCACAUGGACAUGUUGAAGAGCUUGACAGGAGAAUGGAUUGAAACCGAGAGUUCAAUCGACAGAAUGAAAGAGGAAGAAGGAAAUAAACGGUGAUUGUGGAUCCCAGCGGAUACAGACUCCAGGAUUAAUCCUUGUCGGUAUUCCUGCAGUAAUAUGAGACAGCACUCCACGGUGAGAGUUAAACCCAGGAGGCAGGAAGGGGAGCCAUUGAACAUGAGCAGGUUUAGUUCAAACACAAGAGGUUUGUUCAGUCAGUAACAGUGUGUUCGACAUGGAGGUGAAGUGAGCAGUGAGGGGAAAUGUUACCACAAGCUGACAAUGGAUAACUUUCAUUGGAACAGGAGGAGGCCAUUCAGCCCCUCGACUUUGCUGUGCCACUCAUGAUGAUCAUAGCUGAUGU